GUAAAAAAUGCCCUGCAUUGCAGCAAAGUUCUCCUGCAACAGGGCGAUCAAAUUAAGAUCCUACAUCUGUAAUAAUGUACUAUAUUAUGUGCAUCUUCACAUAAUGGAUAAUUAUGACCUGAAUAAGGGUUGUGUGCCUAUGUGUUGCAUGUAUCUGUAUAUCAUAUUUGUUCUAACAAUGUUUAAUUGAGGGUCGUAAUAAAGUUAUGAAGCCUCUCUCCCUCUUCGGUAUUUACAGUUCCACUGCUGGGUUUUUCCAUACUGACACCAACAAUAAAAGCGGCCUGCAUCCUUAGGGGUGUGUGUGACUUCACAGGGGUGUGUGAUGGAGGGGUGGCCUCUGUAAGCCUCUCUGCCAACCUCAUAUAAACCCAUGCACACCCACACCACACACCCAUCCAAACACACUCUCUCACACACACACUCCGGCCGAGUACAGAACACACACAGAGAUGGACUUUCUGAAAGGAUCUGGGAAGCAGGUGGAUGCAGUGAUCGACAAAGCAGCUGUUGUGGUGAAGGAGAAGGUGGGAGAGAUGAUCGGAGGAGGAGCUAAGGAGGAGAAGAAAGAUGAAGGUAUUGGUGGCAAGGUGUCUGAUGUUGUGGUUGUUCCACCAGGUAUUGGUGGCAUGGUGUCUGAUGUUGUGGUUGUUCCUCCAGGUAUUGGUGGCAUGGUGUCUGAUGUUGUGGUUGUUCCUCCAGGUAUUGGUGGCAUGGUGUCUGAUGUUGUGGUUGUUCCACCAGGUAUUGGUGGCAUGGUGUCUGAUGUUGUGGUUGUUCCUCCAGGUAUUGGUGGCAAGGUGUCUGAUGUUGUGGUUGUUCCACCAGGUAUUGGUGGCAUGGUGUCUGAUGUUGUGGUUGUUCCUCCAGGUAUUGGUGGCAUGGUGUCUGAUAUUGUGGUUGUUCCACCAGGUAUUGGUGGCAUGGUGUCUGAUGUUGUGGUUGUUCCUCCAGGUAUUGGUGGCAUGGUGUCUGAUGUUGUGGUUGUUCCUCCAGGUAUUGGUGGCAUGGUGUCUGAUGUUG
Molecule: long non-coding RNA, 1023 nt
Filed under: Salmo salar (Atlantic salmon)
Lineage: Eukaryota; Metazoa; Chordata; Actinopteri; Salmoniformes; Salmonidae
Description: lncRNA (ENSSSAG00000099859.1)
Source: RNAcentral